UGAUCCCCAUUGAAAGGAGAUCAUAAGCUUGUUAAUAAAUUGUGAGAAAUUAUGCCCGCAAGUUUGUCGCCUAACGAGCUAGGUGGAGGCUUGGAAAAGAAGCGGUCAAACGAAUCAAGCACGAGAAGAAAACGUAUUCGGAUGCGAGGUAAGUAGAGCUUACGCCCCUUUACAUUAUUUGCAAAGUUACUUAAUUUCAAGUCAUGAUAUGAAUGCUACUAAGUGGUUGGUAUAUGAUAUUCCGACGCGAUUCAAUGAGAGUUGGAAUGAGGGGAAAAUGGUAAAUUAGUCAUGUAAUGACGAAUAAUUAAAAACGGUUUUAAGUAAAACAAGUUCAAAGAAAACCGGGAUAGGUAAAAGGGGUGAAAUGGUAAUUAAAUACCAUCUCAACACGGACAAAUGGUCAAUUAGACUAAAUGGGUCAAAUGGUGUGGAUAACACCAUUUGGCAAUAACAAUUGACAAUCGCUUGUUGAGUUUUGUGAUUUCAGGAAAUAACAUGUGUUGCGUUGCUUUAAUUAGAAAAUUUAAAGCAAGAAGUAUGUAAACGGGUCAAUACUAUGAUCCGAGCCAGGUACGCAUAUGUGAAUUUAUAGUUAAAAGUGCAAGAAGGUCUAACAUCUAGCCGAAAUCCUUCAUUUCAAAAUGAAGGACUAAAUGUGACCAAAGAGCCCUUAAUAGGUAAACAAUGUAAACGACCCUUAGAGGUUGCCUAGAAACUUAUAUUAUGAGUUUGAAACCCUUAGAUGUGUAUAAAAGUUCUAGGCAAAAACAAUUGCGGGUCGAACGCCUAGAAAUAGUUAAUUGCGGAAAAAUGACCAACCGAUAGGUAAAAUUGGGAAAAAGGGGUUCAUAUGUUAAAUCCACCACAAAAAAGUUGUGGUGGAAUAUUUCUAGUUAAUUAGACAUGGAAAAUAUUGUAGUAUCAAAAGAAAAGCACAAGUUCUAGACCAAAAUGCGUAAAUACCCUUAACGGGUCGAAAUAGAAGUAUUAGCGAAACGAGUUAAGAAUGUGUAAUAACCCGUGAUUUGAACCUUGUACAAUAGGAAAUAAUCAUAAUAUUAUGUUUACGAAAGAAACAAGGGCCACAAUCAAGUUUGUUAGAUGAAUUCAUGAACGGGUCAAAAUUUGGGUAAAAAUGGUAAUAAGCCGAAG
Molecule: long non-coding RNA, 1155 nt
Filed under: Helianthus annuus (common sunflower)
Lineage: Eukaryota; Viridiplantae; Streptophyta; Magnoliopsida; Asterales; Asteraceae
Source: RNAcentral